This 1443-nucleotide ribosomal RNA is filed under the name uncultured organism. Its description in RNAcentral is "SSU rRNA". It matches the Rfam family "Bacterial small subunit ribosomal RNA". The record is from RNAcentral.
AACGCUAGCUACAGGCUUAACACAUGCAAGUCGAGGGGCAGCAUGGUCUUAGCUUGCUAAGGCCGAUGGCGACCGGCGCACGGGUGAGUAACACGUAUCCAACCUGCCGUCUACUCUUGGACAGCCUUCUGAAAGGAAGAUUAAUACAAGAUGGCAUCAUGAGUCCGCAUGUUCACAUGAUUAAAGGUAUUCCGGUAGACGAUGGGGAUGCGUUCCAUUAGAUAGUAGGCGGGGUAACGGCCCACCUAGUCUUCGAUGGAUAGGGGUUCUGAGAGGAAGGUCCCCCACAUUGGAACUGAGACACGGUCCAAACUCCUACGGGAGGCAGCAGUGAGGAAUAUUGGUCAAUGGGCGAGAGCCUGAACCAGCCAAGUAGCGUGAAGGAUGACUGCCCUAUGGGUUGUAAACUUCUUUUAUAAAGGAAUAAAGUCGGGUAUGCAUACCCGUUUGCAUGUACUUUAUGAAUAAGGAUCGGCUAACUCCGUGCCAGCAGCCGCGGUAAUACGGAGGAUCCGAGCGUUAUCCGGGUUUAUUGGGUUUAAAGGGAGCGUAGAUGGAUGUUUAAGUCAGUUGUGAAAGUUUGCGGCUCAACCGUAAAAUUGCAGUUGAUACUGGAUAUCUUGAGUGCAGUUGAGGCAGGCGGAAUUCGUGGUGUAGCGGUGAAAUGCUUAGAUAUCACGAAGAACUCCGAUUGCGAAGGCAGCCUGCUAAGCUGCAACUGACAUUGAGGCUCGAAAGUGUGGGUAUCAAACAGGAUUAGAUACCCUGGUAGUCCACACGGUAAACGAUGAAUACUCGCUGUUUGCGAUAUACGGCAAGCGGCCAAGCGAAAGCGUUAAGUAUUCCACCUGGGGAGUACGCCGGCAACGGUGAAACUCAAAGGAAUUGACGGGGGCCCGCACAAGCGGAGGAACAUGUGGUUUAAUUCGAUGAUACGCGAGGAACCUUACCCGGGCUUAAAUUGCAGAUGAAUUACGGUGAAAGCCGUAAGCCGCAAGGCAUCUGUGAAGGUGCUGCAUGGUUGUCGUCAGCUCGUGCCGUGAGGUGUCGGCUUAAGUGCCAUAACGAGCGCAACCCUUGUUGUCAGUUACUAACAGGUUCCGCUGAGGACUCUGACAAGACUGCCAUCGUAAGAUGUGAGGAAGGUGGGGAUGACGUCAAAUCAGCACGGCCCUUACGUCCGGGGCUACACACGUGUUACAAUGGGGGGUACAGAGGGCCGCUACCACGCGAGUGGAUGCCAAUCCCAAAAACCUCUCUCAGUUCGGACUGGAGUCUGCAACCCGACUCCACGAAGCUGGAUUCGCUAGUAAUCGCGCAUCAGCCACGGCGCGGUGAAUACGUUCCCGGGCCUUGUACACACCGCCCGUCAAGCCAUGGGAGCCGGGGGUACCUGAAGUGCGUAACCGCGAGGAGCGCCCUAGGGUAAAACUGGUGACUGGG